CUGCUGGUGGUGUUCUAUGAGUCAAUCAGAAUUUCAGAUGUAUUUUUUUUUAUUUAAAAAGUAUUUUAAAUUGGUAGCAAAAAAAAAAAAAAUUCUGCCAAAGAGGACUUGGAGAAAGCUUAAUUAGUUCUCAAGUGGUAAUACAAUAGAGGAAAAUGAAAGGGAUCCCCAAAUGACUUCUUUUUGUCAUUCAUCUUGCAAAGAACUGGAUCAAUUGACAGCAGAGGAGCAAUCCACCAUGGAAAGAGCUAAACAGGUCCCUGACAAUAGAAAAUUGGAUACAGACCAGAAGAAAUGCAUGUUGAGGCCACCUGUGCAUACAGUAGUGAUAUUUGGCAACUCAGGGAAGAGAGCAAGUAUUUCAGGAUUCUAUCCCUGG
This is a long non-coding RNA of Pogoniulus pusillus (Red-fronted tinkerbird), 379 nucleotides long. RefSeq lists it as uncharacterized. The record is from RefSeq and is a predicted model, not a curated record. The transcript is spliced from 3 exons. Lineage: Eukaryota; Metazoa; Chordata; Aves; Piciformes; Lybiidae.